CAUACACUUAGUGUAGCAUGCACUUGGUGAAAUAUCAGUUAAUUUCAGCCACCUCUUGAGUAGAUCCUAAUGUUAAACUAAUGACAAACGAAAUCAGCAAUUUUGUCCCACUUAUUUUAGUAGUUUUGCAUUUCUUGCUUCUCCAUUCUCCGCGAUGCCAUUCACCAAUUUCAUCUAGGGGCUCCUUGGACUCGAAUUAAGUUUCAAGUUGAUACAUUUUGAAUGGAUAUAUAACUUAUUAUAAUGUAAAGAGAGAGCUUACAGAUGGGAGAUCCAGAAGGCUGACAUGGAUGAAAACAACACAGGGAUCAACAAUAAAGAAUCCUCAAGAGGAAGAUCUUCUGAUUUUUGUUGUUCCAUUCCACAACAAUGAAAUAUAGAUCAGUGAUCAUAAAAGAAUUGCAUUAGGCUGCAAAAUUUUUGGAGAUCUGCUUGACCCAGACUCAAGUGAACCAGGAAUAAGGGCUUAACUUUAUAUCAGGUGAAAUUAGGUCCAAAUUUUGAGUAUCUUCAAUCAAAAUCAGCAGAAUGAACCAAAAUAUAUAUUUUUUCCAUGUGAACUAGGUAGAGUCUAAUCCAAGGUGCCAAAUCUUGCAAUAUGGGCUAUUGUUCACAUGCUAGUACAGCACAGGAUGCAGCACACCCCUUGUAUCUAUUCAUGGUUCAUCAAAAUAAAUAGCUCAUGUUGAAACAGGUUGAUAUAGCGCAAUACAGGUCUAAUAUGAUAGGGUACAAGGAAGAUUUGAAACCUAGGUCUGAAGGAUUUGUUAGUCAAUAUUCACUCAUCAACCAAGGAACAAAGAUUAAAGGUAAAACAACAUGCAAAACAAAGCAUAUUCAGAAUUUUUUUCUCCAAGUCCAGAGCUCCUCUCAAGUAUUUUUUUUUUCCCAACAAUCUCAUUAUCACUUAACUUAGUAAUAUUAAUAAAACAUGGACAUUGUACAAGCUAUGUGGAGGAGAGACAACGGAAUAGCCUAGAAGCCUCUUCAAUGCCUCCCUCUUCUAACCAAAAACUUGUCAAAAUCACAAGGAAGUAAAGCUAAAUAGAAAAACCCAUUCAUCAUAGCCAACAACACACAGUCCAAAACCAUGAAUUUGAAAGCAACAACUAAACCCCUUCAAGUUGUAAUAGUACUAAUAACCCCUCAGUGAAAAGUGAGAGCCUCAAGUACAAUGGAAUAAGCCAUGAUAGCAUCAUUGUUUAAUAUUGAAGAGUGAAAUCUUGUAAACAUUAUAUCGUCCAUGCUCUCCACAAUCUACUGAAUCUCAUUUGGUAAAGCAGGCAGUCAUUUAAGGUCCAAUAGGAGGAUCCUUGGUGUCCUUGAACUUGUUACUGGGUGAUUGCUGUCAUACGAAACUAACAUGCAAUAGAGAAUUUUUCCGAAGUCCCUCACAUAUCAGAAUCCCUUAACUGAAAAACCAAAGCUUAGCCACCAAGGNNNNNNNNNNNNNNNNNNNNAAGGUCCAAUAGGAGGAUCCUUGGUGUCCUUGAACUUGUUACUGGGUGAUUGCUGUCAUAAGAAACUAACAUGCAAUAGAGAAUUUUUCCGAAGUCCCUUACAUAUCAGAAUCCCUUAACUGAAAAACC
Molecule: long non-coding RNA, 1589 nt
Filed under: Phoenix dactylifera (date palm)
Lineage: Eukaryota; Viridiplantae; Streptophyta; Magnoliopsida; Arecales; Arecaceae
Description: long non-coding RNA (PDAC_LNC001696)
Source: RNAcentral